UAGGGANUCUUCCGCAAUGGGCGAAAGCCUGACGGAGCAACGCCGCGUGAGUGAAGAAGGAUUUCGGUUCGUAAAGCUCUGUUGUUAGGGAAGAAUGAUUGUGUAGUAACUAUACACAGUAGAGACGGUACCUAACCAGAAAGCCACGGCUAACUACGUGCCAGCAGCCGCGGUAAUACGUAGGUGGCAAGCGUUGUCCGGAAUUAUUGGGCGUAAAGCGCGCGCAGGUGGUUUAAUAAGUCUGAUGUGAAAGCCCACGGCUCAACCGUGGAGGGUCAUUGGAAACUGUUAAACUUGAGUGCAGGAGAGAAAAGUGGAAUUCCUAGUGUAGCGGUGAAAUGCGUAGAGAUUAGGAGGAACACCAGUGGCGAAGGCGGCUUUUUGGCCUGUAACUGACACUGAGGCGCGAAAGCGUGGGGAGCAAACAGGAUUAGAUACCCUGGUAGUCCACGCCGUANACGAUGAGUGCUAGGUGUUGGAUCCUUUCCGGGAUUCAGUGCCGCAGCUAACGCAUUAAGCACUCCGCCUGGGGAGUACGACCGCAAGGUUG
Molecule: ribosomal RNA, 550 nt
Filed under: uncultured bacterium
Lineage: Bacteria
Description: bacterial SSU rRNA
Rfam family: Bacterial small subunit ribosomal RNA
Source: RNAcentral